This 1489-nucleotide ribosomal RNA is filed under the name uncultured bacterium. Its description in RNAcentral is "bacterial SSU rRNA". It matches the Rfam family "Bacterial small subunit ribosomal RNA". The record is from RNAcentral.
AGAGUUUGAUCAUGGCUCAGGACGAACGCUGGCGGUGUGCUUAACACAUGCAAGUCGAACGGGGUAUCAGGGUAGUAAUACCCGAAGUACCUAGUGGCGAACGGGUGCGUAACACGUGAGCAACCUACCCCAGAGCUUGGAAUAACACCGGGAAACCGGUGCUAAUACCGAAUACUCUCAUUCGGCCGCAUGACUGAAUGAGGAAAGAUUUAUCACUCUGGGACGGGCUCGCGGCCUAUCAGCUUGUUGGUGAGGUAACGGCUCACCAAGGCUACGACGGGUAGCUGGUCUGAGAGGACGAUCAGCCACACCGGGACUGAGACACGGCCCAGACUCCUACGGGAGGCAGCAGUGGGGAAUAUUGCGCAAUGGGCGAAAGCCUGACGCAGCAACGCCGCGUGGAGGAUGAAGGCUUUCGGGUUGUAAACUCCUUUCAGCAGGGACGAAACUGACGGUACCUGCAGAAGAAGCCCCGGCUAACUACGUGCCAGCAGCCGCGGUGAGACGUAGGGGGCAAGCGUUGUCCGGAUUUAUUGGGCGUAAAGAGCUCGUAGGCGGCUUGGCAAGUCGGAUGUGAAAUCUCCAGGCUUAACCUGGAGUCGCCAUCCGAUACUGCUAUGGCUAGAGUCCGGUAGAGGAUCGUGGAAUUCCUGGUGUAGCGGUGAAAUGCGCAGAUAUCAGGAGGAACACCAACGGCGAAGGCAGCGAUCUGGGCCGGUACUGACGCUGAGGAGCGAAAGCGUGGGGAGCGAACAGGAUUAGAUACCCUGGUAGUCCACGCCCUAAACGUUGGGCACUAGGUGUGGGGCCUAUUUCGACGGGUUCCGUGCCGUAGUUAACGCAUUAAGUGCCCCGCCUGGGGAGUACGGUCGCAAGGCUAAAACUCAAAAGGAAUUGACGGGGGCCCGCACAAGCGGCGGAGCAUGCGGCUUAAUUCGAUGCAACGCGAAAAACCUCACCUGGGUUUGACAUGUAGGGAAAAGCUGCAGAGAUGCAGUGUCCUUUUAGGGCCCUUCACAGGUGGUGCAUGGCUGUCGUCAGCUCGUGUCGUGAGAUGUUGGGUUAAGUCCCGCAACGAGCGCAACCCUUGCCCUAUGUUGCCAGCGGAUAAUGCCGGGGACUCGUAGGGGACUGCCGGAGUUAAUUCGGAGGAAGGUGGGGACGACGUCAAGUCAUCAUGCCCCUUACAUCCAGGGCUGCACGCAUGCUACAAUGGCCGGUACAAAGGGUCGCCAACCCGCGAGGGGGAGCCAAUCCCAUAAAGCCGGUCUCAGUUCGGAUCGCAGUCUGCAACUCGACUGCGUGAAGUCGGAGUCGCUAGUAAUCCCGAAUCAGCACGUCGGGGUGAAUACGUUCCCGGGCCUUGUACACACCGCCCGUCACACCACGAAAGUCGGCAACACCCGAAGCCGGUGGCCCAACCAGUAAUGGAGGGAGCCGUCGAAGGUGGGGUCGGUGAUUGGGGUGAAGUCGUAACAAGGUAGCCGUA